GGUUCGAUCCUGCCCAGAUUGAACGCUGGCGGGAUGCUUUACACAUGCAAGUCGAACGGCAGCACGGACUUCGGUCUGGUGGCGAGUGGCGAACGGGUGAGUAAUGUAUCGGAACGUGCCUAGUAGCGGGGGAUAACUACGCGAAAGCGUGAAGCCAAUACCGCAUACGGCCCUUCAAAGGGGAAAGCGGGGCAAAGGGGGACCGGGCCUCGCACCAUUAGAGCGCCAUAUCGGAUUAGUUGGACAGGUAACUGCUCACCGGCGACGAUCCUGUAGCUGGUUUGAGAGGACGACCAGCCACACUGGGACUGAGACACGGCCCAGACUCCUACGGGAGGCAGCAAGGGAAUUUUGGACAAUGGGAACCCCGAUCCAGCCAUCUCGCGUGUGCGAUGAAGGCCUUCGGGUUGGUGAAGCACUUUUGGCAGGGAAAGAAACGGCACGGAUAAUACCCCGUGCAACUGACGGUACCUGCAGAAUAAGCACCGGCUAACUACGUGCCAGCAGCCGCGGUAAUACGUAGGUGUGCUGUUAAUCGUGGAAUUACUGGGCGGGAAGCGUGCGCAGGCGGUUCGGAAAGAAAGAUGUGAAAUCCCAGAGCUUAACUUUUGGAACUGCAUUCUUUAACUACUCGAGCUAGAGGUGUCAGAGGAGGUGGAAUUCCGGCGGGUGAGUGAAAUGCGUAGGAUAUGCGGAGGAACACCGAUGGCGAAGGCAGCCUCCUGGGAUAACACUGACGCUCAUGACGAAAGCGUGGGGGCAAUGAUUAGAUACCCUGGUAGUCCACGCCUCAAACGAUGUCAACUAGCUGUUGGGCCUUCGGGCCUGGUAGCGUUGUGCUAAUCGGCACGCGAAGUUGACCGCCUGGGGAGUACGGUCGAAAAAGAUUAAAACUCAAAGGAAUUGACGGGGACCCGCACAAGCGGUGGAUGACAGAUUAAUUCCGAUGCAACGCGAAAACUUUACCUACCCUUGACAUGUCUGGAAUCCCGAAGAGAUUUUGGGAGAAAACAAGAGAACCGGAACACAGGUGCUGCAUGGCUGUCAGCCUGUGUCGUGAGAUGCUGGGUUAAGUCCCGCAAGUAACGAGUGCAACCCUUGUCAUUAGUUGCUGUAAGGGCACUCUAAUGAGACUGCCGGUGACAAACUUGAGGAAGGUGGGGAUGACGUCAAGUCCUCAUGGCCCUUAUGGGUAGGGCUUCGCCAUCGCCACAACGGUCGGGACAGAGGGUCGCCAACUCCGCGAGGGGGAGCCAAUCCCAGAAACCCGAUCGUAGUCCGGAUCGCAGUCUGCAACUCGACUGCGUGAAGUCGAACUGCCUAGUAAUCGCGGAUCAGCAUGUCGCGGUGAAUACGUUCCCGGUCUUGUACACACCGCCCGUCACACCAUGGGAGUGGGUUUUUACCAGAAGUAGUUAGCCUAACCGUAAGGAGUGGCGAUUACCACGGGUAGGAUUCAUGAUUGGGGUGAAGUCGUAACAAGGUAGCUCU
This 1491-nucleotide ribosomal RNA is filed under the name uncultured Bordetella sp. RNAcentral's name for it is "partial 16S-23S ribosomal RNA intergenic spacer". It matches the Rfam family "Bacterial small subunit ribosomal RNA". The record is from RNAcentral. Lineage: Bacteria; Pseudomonadati; Pseudomonadota; Betaproteobacteria; Burkholderiales; Alcaligenaceae.